GAUUCGACUUGAAAAUCUGAGCAGAACCGAUUCUUAUGUCCGAAAUGCCUCGGAUGAAUUCUCGCGUCUCGACACAAGAUGGAGUCCACGGUAGAACAAUACAGGUGGACAGACGAAGAUGUGGAAAAGCUUAUUCGUCUAAGGGCGGAGAAGGAUUAGAUGUUUUCUGGCAAAAGAAAUGACGCUCAGCUUGGUUGGGAAACUGUUCUUAAAGAGAUUGGUCUUGCUGAUAAAGUCAGCCCAGCAAGGGCUGGGAAGAAGUGGGAAAACCUGAAAAUAAAAUUUAAGGAACUGAAGCAGCUACCAUCAGGUGUGGAGAGCGAGUCAGGGGACACAAAUGCAAGGAGCUGGAAGUGGUUUGAGCUGAUGAAUGAAGCAAUUGGUUGGAGGCCAUCUAUGCAGCCUCCCUUUCUGAUUUCUUCAGCAUCCCCUACUUAUAGUUCCUCAGAGCUGCUUGAAACAGAUGACAGCGACCCAGGGUUUAGCCCCUUGCCACCAAAAAGGCAGCAUAAGGAUCCAGUUUUGGAGUUCCUGGAGAGAGAGGCAGAGCGGUCUGAGGCCAGGGAGAGGAGAGCAGAGGAAAGAGAGGAAAAGUUAUUAAACCUGCUGGAGAGAACCGUUGAUAAGAUGUAAAUGUAAAAAAAAAAAUAAUAAUAAUAAUAAUAAUAAAAAAAGGUUGUUGUUUUCAUAUUCUUAUUGUUGCAAAUACCAAUUAUUGGUUAACAGUUAAGUAUAACUAGUUCAUAAGUUAUAUAAUAUAUUACAUACUUUAUACAAUAAUUUGGUGAUUUUGUCAUUGCAUAUGUGAAAUAUAGCCAUAUUUUACUUUGACAGACAUCUUACAACAUGUCAAGUUGUUGUUGUUUUUUUUGUUUUUUUUUUGCAAUGAAAAUAGAGUUUCUUUAAUAAAUUGUUAUAGAGGACUGGUUGAUUAGUUAAUUAACAUUAAAGUGAAUAAAGUGUUCUCUUGAAA
Ctenopharyngodon idella (grass carp) is the source of this 973-nucleotide long non-coding RNA. RefSeq lists it as uncharacterized. The record is from RefSeq and is a predicted model, not a curated record. The transcript has 4 exons. NCBI's taxonomy places the organism in Eukaryota, Metazoa, Chordata, Actinopteri, Cypriniformes, Xenocyprididae.